Molecule: ribosomal RNA, 310 nt
Filed under: uncultured bacterium
Lineage: Bacteria
Description: partial 16S ribosomal RNA
Rfam family: Bacterial small subunit ribosomal RNA
Source: RNAcentral
AAGAGACAGCAGCCGCCACGGGAAUACAGAGGGUGCGAGCGUUAAUCGGAUUUACUGGGCGUAAAGCGUGCGUAGGCGGCUUUUUAAGUCGGAUGUGAAAUCCCUGAGCUUAACUUAGGAAUUGCAUUCGAUACUGGGAAGCUAGAGUAUGGGAGAGGAUGGUAGAAUUCCAGGUGUAGCGGUGAAAUGCGUAGAGAUCUGGAGGAAUACCGAUGGCGAAGGCAGCCAUCUGGCCUAAUACUGACGCUGAGGUACGAAAGCAUGGGGAGCAAACAGGAUUAGAUACCCCUGUAGUCCCUGUCUCUUAUAC